AGGGGAAGAAACCCCCGACGUGUCGGGGCUUGCCGGUACCCUGGGAAUAAGCAUCGGCUAACUCCGUGCCAGCAGCCGCGGUAAUACGGAGGAUGCGAGCGUUAUCCGGAUUUAUUGGGUUUAAAGGGUGCGUAGGCGGAUUAAUAAGUCAGUGGUGAAAACUGCAGCUUAACUGUAGACUUGCCAUUGAUACUGUUAGUCUUGAGUACGGUCAAGGUAGGCGGAAUGUGUAAUGUAGCGGUGAAAUGCUUAGAUAUUACACAGAACACCGAUUGCGAAGGCAGCUUACUGGGCCAUUACUGACGCUGAUGCACGAAAGCGUGGGGAGCGAACAGGAUUAGAUACCCUGGUAGUCCACGCCGUAAACGAUGAUCACUCGCUGUUGGCGAUACACAGUCAGCGGCUAAGCAAAAGCAUUAAGUGAUCCACCUGGGGAGUACGGCCGCAAGGCUGAAACUCAAAGGAAUUGACGGGGGCCCGCACAAGCGGAGGAACAUGUGGUUUAAUUCGAUGAUACGCGAGGAACCUUACCUGGGCUUAAAUGUAGAGUGCAUUUCGCUGAAAGGCGGAUUCCCUUCGGGGCUCUUUGCAAGGUGCUGCAUGGUUGUCGUCAGCUCGUGCCGUGAGGUGUCGGGUUAAGUCCCAUAACGAGCGCAACCCUUAUCGUUAGUUGCCAGCGGGUCAAGCCGGGAACUCUAACGAAACUGCCGGUGUAAACCGUGAGGAAGGUGGGGAUGACGUCAAAUCAGCACGGCCCUUAUGUCCAGGGCUACACACGUGUUACAAUGGCCGGUACAGAGGGCAGCUACCUGGAGACUGGAUGCGAAUCUCCAAAGCCGGUCUCAGUUCGGAUCGGAGUCUGCAACUCGACUUCGUGAAGCUGGAUUCGCUAGUAAUCGCGCAUCAGCCAUGACGCGGUGAAUACGUUCCCGGGCCUUGUACACACCGCCCGUCAAGCCAUGGAAGUUGGGGGUACCUGAAGUCCGUAACCGAAAGGAGCGGCCUAG
Molecule: ribosomal RNA, 1007 nt
Filed under: uncultured organism
Description: bacterial SSU rRNA
Rfam family: Bacterial small subunit ribosomal RNA
Source: RNAcentral